Molecule: long non-coding RNA, 246 nt
Filed under: Panax ginseng (ginseng)
Lineage: Eukaryota; Viridiplantae; Streptophyta; Magnoliopsida; Apiales; Araliaceae
Description: long non-coding RNA (PGIN_LNC005543)
Source: RNAcentral
AAAAGUUUAUCAAAGAAUAAUGAUAAUACUAAGCCUAUAAUGUAAUGUCUAAUACUUAACUAUGUUAGACAAUUUAAUAUAAGAUGAUGAGUUAACAGGUAUGUUAUGCUAAUUAAAAGAUCAAUCUUAUAACUGAUAGGUCUUUUCAAUAAUGACGUUAACUUAGAUUGCGUAGCAGUAAUCAACUGUUCAUGCAAGUUUUUCUAACUCAAACUUGAGUUGUUUGUUCAAAGCAUGUUAGUGAAU